CGCAUCCUUCACAAGAUGAGUGGCGGACGGGUGAGUAACGCGUGAGAAUCUGCCUUCAGGACUGGGACAACCACUGGAAACGGUGGCUAAUACCAGAUAUGCAGCGAGUGAAAAGGUUUAUUCCGCCUGAAGAUGAGCUCGCGUCAGAUUAGCUAGUUGGUGAGGUAACGGCUUACCAAGGCAUCGAUCUGUAGCUGGUCUGAGAGGAUGACCAGCCACACUGGGACUGAGACACGGCCCAGACUCCUACGGGAGGCAGCAGUGAGGAAUUUUCCGCAAUGGGCGCAAGCCUGACGGAGUAAUACCGCGUGCGGGAGGGAGGUCUAUUGACUGUAAACCGCUUUUAUUAAGAAAGAAUUCUGACGGUACUUAAUGAAUAAGCCUCGGCUAACUCCGUGCCAGCAGCCGCGGUAAUACGGAGGAGGCAAGCGUUAUCCGGAAUUAUUGGGCGUAAAGCGUCCGUAGGUGGUUUUGCAAGUCGGCUGUCAAAGCCCGUGGCUCAACCACGGAAAGGCAGUGGAAACUACAAAACUCGAGUGCAGUAGGGGCAGAGGGAAUUCCCAGUGUAGCGGUGAAAUGCGUAGAGAUUGGGAAGAACACCCGUGGCGAAAGCGCUCUGCUGGACUGCAACUGACACUAAGGGACGAAAGCUAGGGGAGCGAAUGGGAUUAGAUACCCCAGUAGUCCUAGCCGUA
This 695-nucleotide ribosomal RNA is filed under the name uncultured cyanobacterium. Its description in RNAcentral is "bacterial SSU rRNA". It matches the Rfam family "Bacterial small subunit ribosomal RNA", at positions 67 to 804 of the family's 1533-position model. The record is from RNAcentral. Lineage: Bacteria; Bacillati; Cyanobacteriota.